This 440-nucleotide ribosomal RNA is filed under the name uncultured bacterium. RNAcentral's name for it is "partial 16S ribosomal RNA". It matches the Rfam family "Bacterial small subunit ribosomal RNA", at positions 338 to 795 of the family's 1533-position model. The record is from RNAcentral.
CCUACGGGAGGCAGCAGUGGGGAAUAUUGCACAAUGGGGGAAACCCUGAUGCAGCGACGCCGCGUGAGUGAAGAAGUAUUUCGGUACGUAAAGCUCUAUCAGCAGGGAAGAAAUUGACGGUACCUGACUAAGAAGCCCCGGCUAACUACGUGCCAGCAGCCGCGGUAAUACGUAGGGGGCAAGCGUUAUCCGGAUUUACUGGGUGUAAAGGGAGCGUAGACGGCAGCGCAAGUCUGGAGUGAAAUCCCAUGGCUUAACCAUGGAACUGCUUUGGAAACUGUGCAGCUAGAGUGCAGGAGAGGUAAGCGGAAUUCCUAGUGUAGCGGUGAAAUGCGUAGAUAUUAGGAGGAACACCAGUGGCGAAGGCGGCUUACUGGACUGUAACUGACGUUGAGGCUCGAAAGCGUGGGGAGCAAACAGGAUUAGAUACCCCUGUAGUC